GUUUAUGGCCAUGCCACCCUGAGCAAGUCCGAUGUCUGAUCUCGGAAGCUAAGCAGGGUCAGGCCUGGUUAGGACUUGGAUGGGAGACCACCUAGAAAGACCAGGUGCCGUAGGCA
RNAcentral lists this ribosomal RNA (116 nucleotides) under Pteropus alecto (black flying fox). The record is from RNAcentral. Lineage: Eukaryota; Metazoa; Chordata; Mammalia; Chiroptera; Pteropodidae.